RNAcentral lists this microRNA (23 nucleotides) under Homo sapiens (human). Its description in RNAcentral is "hsa-miR-3161". The record is from miRBase by way of RNAcentral. Lineage: Eukaryota; Metazoa; Chordata; Mammalia; Primates; Hominidae.
CUGAUAAGAACAGAGGCCCAGAU